RNAcentral lists this transfer RNA (71 nucleotides) under Salmo salar (Atlantic salmon). It matches the Rfam family "tRNA". From Rfam's summary of the family: Transfer RNA (tRNA) molecules are approximately 80 nucleotides in length. Their secondary structure includes four short double-helical elements and three loops (D, anti-codon, and T loops). Further hydrogen bonds mediate the characteristic L-shaped molecular structure. tRNAs have two regions of fundamental functional importance: the anti-codon, which is responsible for specific mRNA codon recognition, and the 3' end, to which the tRNAs corresponding amino acid is attached (by aminoacyl-tRNA synthetases). tRNAs cope with the degeneracy of the genetic code in two manners: having more than one tRNA (with a specific anti-codon) for a particular amino acid; and 'wobble' base-pairing, i.e. permitting non-standard base-pairing at the 3rd anti-codon position. The record is from Rfam by way of RNAcentral. Lineage: Eukaryota; Metazoa; Chordata; Actinopteri; Salmoniformes; Salmonidae.
GUCCCUGGCUCAGUUGGUAGAGCAUGGUGUUUGCAAUGCCAGGGUUGUGGGUUUGAUUCCCACGGGGGACC